This 467-nucleotide ribosomal RNA is filed under the name uncultured bacterium. Its description in RNAcentral is "partial 16S ribosomal RNA". It matches the Rfam family "Bacterial small subunit ribosomal RNA", at positions 29 to 507 of the family's 1533-position model. The record is from RNAcentral.
ACGAACGCUGGCGGCGUGCUUAACACAUGCAAGUCGAACGGAAAGGCCCUGCUUUUGUGGGGUUCUCGAGUGGCGAACGGGUGAGUAACACGUUAGUAACCUGCCCUUGACUUUGGGAUAACUUCAGGAAACUGGGGCUAAUACCGGAUAGGAGCUCCUGCUGCCUGGUGGGGGUUGGAAAGUUUCGGCGGUUGGGGAUGGACUCGCGGCUUAUCAGCUUGUUGGUGGGGUAGUGGCUUACCAAGGCUUUGACGGGUAGCCGGCCUGAGAGGGUGACCGGCCACAUUGGGACUGAGAUACGGCCCAGACUCCUACGGGAGGCAGCAGUGGGGAAUAUUGCACAAUGGGCGGAAGCCUGAUGCAGCAACGCCGCGUGCGGGAUGACGGCCUUCGGGUUGUAAACCGCUUUCGCCUGUGACGAAGCGUGAGUGACGGUAAUGGGUAAAGAAGCACCGGCUAACUACGUG